GACGAACGCUGGCGGCGUGCUUAACACAUGCAAGUCGAACGCUGAAGCUCAGCUUGCUGGGUGGAUGAGUGGCGAACGGGUGAGUAACACGUGAGUAACCUGCCCUCUUCUUUGGGAUAACGCCCGGAAACGGGUGCUAAUACUGGAUAUUCACUGAUUCUCGCCUGGGGGUUGGUGGAAAGGUUUUUUCUGGUGGGGGAUGGGCUCGCGGCCUAUCAGCUUGUUGGUGGGGUGGUGGCCUACCAAGGCUUUGACGGGUAGCCGGCCUGAGAGGGUGACCGGUCACAUUGGGACUGAGAUACGGCCCAGACUCCUACGGGAGGCAGCAGUGGGGAAUAUUGCACAAUGGGCGAAAGCCUGAUGCAGCGACGCCGCGUGAGGGAUGGAGGCCUUCGGGUUGUAAACCUCUUUCGCUCAUGGUCAAGCCGCAGCUUUGGGUUGUGGUGAGGGUAGUGGGUAAAGAAGCGCCGGCUAACUACGUG
Molecule: ribosomal RNA, 482 nt
Filed under: uncultured bacterium
Lineage: Bacteria
Description: partial 16S ribosomal RNA
Rfam family: Bacterial small subunit ribosomal RNA
Source: RNAcentral